Odocoileus virginianus texanus is the source of this 932-nucleotide long non-coding RNA. RefSeq lists it as uncharacterized. The record is from RefSeq and is a predicted model, not a curated record. NCBI's taxonomy places the organism in Eukaryota, Metazoa, Chordata, Mammalia, Artiodactyla, Cervidae.
GUGCUUGUCAUCUGGGGAAUCAGCAGCAUAAUUUCCCCCAGUGAACACUCUAUUCUGUAUCAUUCAAGGUCCAAUCAGGAGAACGUAACCCAUACUAGGUAUUUCCAUCAGAGAGAUUUAAUACAGGAAACUGGUUACACAAGUAUUGGAGGAAUUGAGGAACCAAAAAGUGGGUGCAGAAGUACCAGAGAGACCAGAUGACCUGAAAGCAUAGUCUCCAGUUGGGAAUGAUGAGUCACCUCUAUGAAUCCCUGCUGAGUGGUCAGCCAGCCAUUCCUGAAAAUGGCCCGUUGGUGACCCUGCCCUCUUCACUGGCGAACAUGACCUUUCUUCUUUCAACAAACCCAAAAACGCUUCCUCUCUGCUUUACUUUGGUAAGUCAGCAGAAGUAAUACUGAGUAAACAGUCCAAAGACCCAGACUCAUCCAGACUGCCCACUUCCCCAGCGUAUCUCCCGGACAGGGGUCUCAGCCAAGGCUGUUGGCCAGAGGGAGCAAAAGAGUUACAAGCCCACGCAUCACACUUCAAUCAGCUCUGAGGAUCUUUGCGGCAGCAGGAGACAGACGGGCUGUAGAGACACAGAGCACCCAGCCACGCCUUCCUGGCCUGUACACUGAUUGGACGGUGACGAGCAGCAGCAGCUUUCUCUUCAUAAGCAGUAGAAUCUGUUUCCAGAGCCCAGCCAAGAGUCUGCAGGCAGGAGGGAGGGCAGUGAGACACUCAGUCAAAGGCUCAGGAUCGGGGGUCUUGAUUUGUCCAUCCCUCUGCCUCCAAGAUGAAGCGACUGAGCGCACACGCAUUGCCUCCAAGAAGAACUUCAAAGAUUCCAGCCUAGACAGGCUCUGUUGAUUUUACCAAGGUAAUGAGAUGCCCCAAAUGGUAAAGUGCAGGUCACACAUGUCUCAGGCAGGAGAGGAUUCAGUGGAAGGGGA